This 247-nucleotide ribosomal RNA is filed under the name uncultured bacterium. RNAcentral describes it as "partial 16S ribosomal RNA". It matches the Rfam family "Bacterial small subunit ribosomal RNA", at positions 530 to 776 of the family's 1533-position model. The record is from RNAcentral.
GGGUGCAAACGUUGUUCGGAAUUACUGGGCGUAAAGCGUGUGUAGGCGGCCGCGAGAGUCGGAUGUGAAAGCCCUGGGCUCAACUCAGGAAGUGCACCCGAUACUACGUGGCUAGAGUACCGGAGAGGUUGGUAGAAUUCUCGGUGUAGAGGUGAAAUUCGUAGAUAUCGAGAGGAAUACCUGUGGCGAAGGCGGCCAACUGGACGAGUACUGACGCUGAGACACGAAAGCGUGGGGAGCAAACAGG